Molecule: long non-coding RNA, 820 nt
Filed under: Oryza brachyantha (malo sina)
Lineage: Eukaryota; Viridiplantae; Streptophyta; Magnoliopsida; Poales; Poaceae
Description: long non-coding RNA (OBRA_LNC000576)
Source: RNAcentral
CGCGGAGCAAGCGGGACGUCGUGGCAGGGAAGGAUGACGAUGCUGCCAAAACUGGCCUUUUUGGUCCACCUUUUCCACCCCUCCUCGACUCCGCGGGCGAAUGCCAGGCCGCGAUUCGGUGGAUCCCCCUCCCCAGGCAGCGCGGCCACCGCUGGCUUCCACGAUGGAAAACGCAGCAUUUGAUUUGUUUUGGUUUAAUAAAAAGUAUUCUAAAAUAUUAAAUUAUUUAUUAUCAUUGGAUUUAGAGUAGGAUAUGUGCAGGUAGAUCAAUGAUUAAAAAUAAUUUAAUACCAUAAGGUAUUAAUAUCUCGAGAUAUUUUUAUUACUUUUUGUUGAAAUAUAAAAUUGCUCAUUCUAUUAUUUCAGCAAGACCUCCCGAUCGAGUGGACCGAUCUAUCUCUCUCACUCUAUUAUUGUUGCCGCCCUACGUACUCGUUUUGGAUUCGUCGCCAACAUGUUCUCGGAGGAACACGUUGAAUGUGCAAGUGUGCUGAGAAGGAGAGAUCAAGAAGCACAUAAAUAUUGAUUGAUCAUGCGAAUUCCUUUUGAGGUGAAAAAAUCUUGCACGAUUACAGCAGCAUUUUGCUAUGCCCUCUAGUUGUCCAUGAUUAGCUAGAAACUUUAUCCACCAUAUGAGAAGCUUCUAGCAGUGACCUAAAAAUAUAUAUAUUCGGAUACAUGUUGCAUGUGAAUAAUGUUAAAACGGUCAAAACAUAAUACUGUUGGGUAUUUAAAUUUCUAGCCGUCUCGUCCGUAGAACACCAUUGGUUAAAUUCGGCGUGCCAUGGGCAGUACAGACCGAACGAAUAUAAGCGAUAGA